Pelobates cultripes (western spadefoot toad) is the source of this 248-nucleotide non-coding RNA. The record is from the annotation of a GenBank genome assembly. Lineage: Eukaryota; Metazoa; Chordata; Amphibia; Anura; Pelobatidae.
AUCUGACUAUUCACAUUUUUGCUCUAGACCAAGGUAUUCAUGUCCAGAUAUUUUUUGUUGGUGUAUUUUAGCAGAGUUUAACUGUUUGCCAUAUAGCCAAUAUGGAAUUAUUAGACAUUUAUCGUCACAAUUAGUUUAGAUUUAUGUAAAACUGAACAUUGCAUAUGGGGGAGAUGCCAUAUGUUUUUGCCUAAGACGGUAAUAUUACUUGCACUGGCCCUAUAUGAAGGAUAUUAAUUGAAAGUGAU